UAACACCUUGCCCCGUCAUCACGUCCUGACAAUAAGUAAUUGAUGAGUAAUAUCGCGCAUGAAUGCGCGAUAAGGCGAAAUUAGGCCAUGGAUGGACUACCUUCGCCGCUUACGUUCAUAUCAACUAUGUUUUGAAGGAUUGAGCGUGAUACUCGGGUGACGCUAGG
Molecule: non-coding RNA, 167 nt
Organism: Pseudoalteromonas sp. P1-25
Lineage: Bacteria; Pseudomonadati; Pseudomonadota; Gammaproteobacteria; Alteromonadales; Pseudoalteromonadaceae
Source: Rfam